Molecule: non-coding RNA, 72 nt
Organism: Alphaproteobacteria bacterium 64-6
Lineage: Bacteria; Pseudomonadati; Pseudomonadota; Alphaproteobacteria
Source: Rfam
GGGCAGUUAGCUCAGCGGUAGAGCACUACCUUGACAUGGUAGGGGUCACAGGUUCGAUCCCUGUACUGCCCA